GUCCUAGCCGUAAACGAUGGGCACUGGGUAGGGGGAAGCCUAUGCUCUUCCCUGCCGAAGCAAAUGUAUUAAGUGCCCCGCCUGGGGAGUACGCUCGCAAGGGUAAAACUCAAAGGAAUUGACGGGGGCUCACACAAGCGGUGGAGCAUGUGGUUAAAUUCGAAGCAACGCGAAGAACCUUACCUGGCCUUGACAUCCAUGGAUUAGUCCCCUGAAAGGGGGAGUACUGCUCUUCGGAGCCGGAACAUGGACAGGUGUUGCAUGGCUGUCGU
RNAcentral lists this ribosomal RNA (272 nucleotides) under uncultured bacterium. Its description in RNAcentral is "partial 16S ribosomal RNA". It matches the Rfam family "Bacterial small subunit ribosomal RNA", at positions 793 to 1055 of the family's 1533-position model. The record is from RNAcentral.